GAUGAUGGCGACGCAGCAGGGAGGGUGAUACGGGGGUGGGGGGCGUGGACGGGAAUCGCCGGGAGUAAAGGGAGCGGAGGCGGGGCAUGAUGGGGGUGGUGAAAUCCCGGGGCUCAACUCCGGGGCUGCCGGGCAGACUGGUGGGCUUGAGCAUGGUAGAGGCGGGUGGGAUUCCCGGGGGAGCGGUGGAAUGCGUAGAGAUCGGGAAGAAUACCGGUGGCGAAGGCGUUCCGCUGGGCCGUUGCUGACGCUGAGGCGCGACAGCGUGGGGAGCAAACAGGAUUAGAUACCCUGGUAGUC
This 300-nucleotide ribosomal RNA is filed under the name uncultured Ignisphaera sp. RNAcentral describes it as "bacterial SSU rRNA". The stretch from base 52 to 300 matches the Rfam family "Bacterial small subunit ribosomal RNA", at positions 547 to 795 of the family's 1533-position model. Lineage: Archaea; Thermoproteati; Thermoproteota; Thermoprotei; Desulfurococcales; Desulfurococcaceae. The record is from RNAcentral.